RNAcentral lists this small RNA (553 nucleotides) under Pan troglodytes (chimpanzee). Its description in RNAcentral is "processed transcript". Lineage: Eukaryota; Metazoa; Chordata; Mammalia; Primates; Hominidae. The record is from RNAcentral.
GGAUGAAAAAGGAAACCUUCCUUGUGAAGACCUCAGAGGACAUAUGGUGGGCAAGCCAGUGCAUAAGGGAUCUGAAUCACCAAAUUCAUUUCUGGAUCAGGAAUAUCGAAAGAGAUUUAAUAUUGUCGAAGAAGAUACUGUCUUAUAUUGCUAUGAAUAUGAAAAAGGAAGAUCAAGUAGUCAAGGAAGACGAGAAAGCACCCCAACUUAUGAAAACUCUCUACUUCGGUAUAUGAGCAAUGAAAAGAUUGCUCAAGAAGAAUACAUGUUUCAGAGAAACAGCAAAAAGGACACAGGGAAGAAGUCAAAAAAGAAGGGUGAUAAGAGUAAUAGCCCAACUCACUAUUCAUUGCUACCUAGUUUACAAAUGGAUGCACUGAGACAAGACAUCAUGGGCACUCCUGUGCCAGAGACCACACUAUACCAUACAUUUCAGCAGUCCUCACUGCAGCACAAAUCAAAGAAGAAAAACAAAGGUCCUAUAGCAGGCAAGAGCAAAAGACGAAUUUCUUGCAAAGAUCUUGGCCGUGGUGACUGUGAAGGCUGGCUUUGG